Molecule: long non-coding RNA, 518 nt
Filed under: Homo sapiens (human)
Lineage: Eukaryota; Metazoa; Chordata; Mammalia; Primates; Hominidae
Description: non-protein coding LINC00461:47
Source: RNAcentral
GAGACGCCGAAAGAAGCCUGUUUGUGUGCUGCGGCCGUGCUGUGACUUUGGAUCUUGUCUUUCAGCCGGCGCCUCGGUUCCUGCCCAGCUGGAUUUGGGGGGCAGCAUUGCCUGGCGCAGGGAGAUCAAGUGAGUAUCGUGGCGGCCCUCAGGCUGCAGCUCGCCCGCGGCGCGAGGCCAGCAGUGCCCGCCGCGGCCCCGCGCCCGCACUCCUCACCUCGCCCGCUAGCCGGUGCCCGCAGAGUCCCGCUGCGGGCCGCUCCGAGGGCCAGUCCGGGGCUUUGCUUCAGCUAAUUGAUUGUGUGCCUCGGAUGUUAAACCUGUUGAUCUCGUGAGUUUUCUUAGCCAGUACUGUUAAUUAUCCAGCGGCUUGACCCCCAAUCGCAGAGAGAUGCCAGGAAAUCUUCGCGUUGGAAAAGGGAAUUUUUAUGAGACUGCAAAGAAGCAUAAAAUGAAUAGACAAUCCAACCAACCAAAGGUAAUUUUAAAAUUUACAUUUGAUAAAAUCCAAGUGAUGU